RNAcentral lists this ribosomal RNA (1320 nucleotides) under Staphylococcus pseudoxylosus. RNAcentral's name for it is "bacterial SSU rRNA". It matches the Rfam family "Bacterial small subunit ribosomal RNA", at positions 56 to 1357 of the family's 1533-position model. Lineage: Bacteria; Bacillati; Bacillota; Bacilli; Caryophanales; Staphylococcaceae. The record is from RNAcentral.
UGCAAGUCGAGCGAACAGAUAAGGAGCUUGCUCCUUUGACGUUAGCGGCGGACGGGUGAGUAACACGUGGGUAACCUACCUAUAAGACUGGGAUAACUUCGGGAAACCGGAGCUAAUACCGGAUAACAUUUGGAACCGCAUGGUUCUAAAGUGAAAGAUGGUUUUGCUAUCACUUAUAGAUGGACCCGCGCCGUAUUAGCUAGUUGGUAAGGUAACGGCUUACCAAGGCGACGAUACGUAGCCGACCUGAGAGGGUGAUCGGCCACACUGGAACUGAGACACGGUCCAGACUCCUACGGGAGGCAGCAGUAGGGAAUCUUCCGCAAUGGGCGAAAGCCUGACGGAGCAACGCCGCGUGAGUGAUGAAGGGUUUCGGCUCGUAAAACUCUGUUAUUAGGGAAGAACAAAUGUGUAAGUAACUGUGCACGUCUUGACGGUACCUAAUCAGAAAGCCACGGCUAACUACGUGCCAGCAGCCGCGGUAAUACGUAGGUGGCAAGCGUUAUCCGGAAUUAUUGGGCGUAAAGCGCGCGUAGGCGGUUUCUUAAGUCUGAUGUGAAAGCCCACGGCUCAACCGUGGAGGGUCAUUGGAAACUGGGAAACUUGAGUGCAGAAGAGGAAAGUGGAAUUCCAUGUGUAGCGGUGAAAUGCGCAGAGAUAUGGAGGAACACCAGUGGCGAAGGCGACUUUCUGGUCUGUAACUGACGCUGAUGUGCGAAAGCGUGGGGAUCAAACAGGAUUAGAUACCCUGGUAGUCCACGCCGUAAACGAUGAGUGCUAAGUGUUAGGGGGUUUCCGCCCCUUAGUGCUGCAGCUAACGCAUUAAGCACUCCGCCUGGGGAGUACGACCGCAAGGUUGAAACUCAAAGGAAUUGACGGGGACCCGCACAAGCGGUGGAGCAUGUGGUUUAAUUCGAAGCAACGCGAAGAACCUUACCAAAUCUUGACAUCCUUUGAAAACUCUAGAGAUAGAGCCUUCCCCUUCGGGGGACAAAGUGACAGGUGGUGCAUGGUUGUCGUCAGCUCGUGUCGUGAGAUGUUGGGUUAAGUCCCGCAACGAGCGCAACCCUUAAGCUUAGUUGCCAUCAUUAAGUUGGGCACUCUAGGUUGACUGCCGGUGACAAACCGGAGGAAGGUGGGGAUGACGUCAAAUCAUCAUGCCCCUUAUGAUUUGGGCUACACACGUGCUACAAUGGACAAUACAAAGGGCAGCUAAACCGCGAGGUCAUGCAAAUCCCAUAAAGUUGUUCUCAGUUCGGAUUGUAGUCUGCAACUCGACUACAUGAAGCUGGAAUCGCUAGUAAUCGUAGAUCAGCAUGC